GCAAAGACGGGAUAGGAGGUGUUCUUACCCAGAUACACGCAGACAAUACGGAGAGAAGAGUGGCUUUUGCCUCACGCACUCUUACCGCAGCAGAACGGAAGUACUCCACAGUAGAAAAAGAGGCACUAGCAUGUGUUUGGGCCACAGAGCGCUGGAGGACCUACUUGUGGGGACGACACUUCACACUGCGGACAGAUCACAGCCCGCUGACCACCCUUCUGUCAUCUAAGGGUCAAGGCAGAGCAGGUAUGCGCAUAGCAAGAUGGUCAGCUAGGCUGAUGGCAUUUACCUAUGAUAUUCAGUAUAAGCCGGGGCAUGAGAAUGUGACUGCAGACUGUCUAUCUCGCUUACCACUCCCUAGUACUGAACCUAGUCUGGAACAUGAUUUGGAAGUCGUAGCUCUCACUUCUACACUCACUGCAAUAACCAGCUCUGAGUUCAAAGCGGCAUGUGAUUCUUGUCCUAUCCAAGCUGAGCUACGCAGACUGCUCACCUCAAAAUGGCCACAGUGUGCAAAGGCACUGGAUCAUGCGUUAAAGCCGUAUUUUCAAGUGCGGCAUGAACUUUCACUCCAGGAUGGUUGCGUGGUGCGUGGAACCACACGCCUUCUGGUUCCAGAAUGUCUCCAGCCCAAGUUCAUCGCACUCGCACAUGAUACACAUCAGGGCAUUGUGAGGACAAAAAGGAGGCUGAGAGAACUCUACUGGUGGCCUGGCAUGGACAAACAAGUAGAAACAGCUGUCAAAGCGUGUGUCACUUGUCAGUUACAUGAUAAAUCGGCUGUCACACAUUCCACACCACUCCAACCUGUACCUUACCCUACUGACGCCUGGGAGAAAGUGGCCAUAGACAUCAUGGGUCCUUUUGAUGCAGCACCUGAUGAUUGUCGUUUUGUGGUCACUCUGGUGGACUAUUACAGUAAGUGGCCUGAGAUAGCAUUUGUCUCACAUCCUACCACCCAGGCCGUGAUGCAGUUCUUGUCUACAGUGUUUAGCAGGGAAGGGAACCCGAAAGAGCUGAUUUCUUAUAAUGGAGUACAGUUCACUUCACAC
Molecule: long non-coding RNA, 1052 nt
Filed under: Sinocyclocheilus anshuiensis
Lineage: Eukaryota; Metazoa; Chordata; Actinopteri; Cypriniformes; Cyprinidae
Description: lncRNA (ENSSANG00000013402.1)
Source: RNAcentral